CCCUGACCUUUUAUCUACGCGCGCUGCUUCUUCUUAUCCCCUGCGCCACUCAAGCUCGUGGAAAAAUCCCACCGCCCAGCCUCUGUCUUCCACCUCCGUCCAUCGUCCCUCUCCUUGAGCCUCUUCCCCAGCCGCGCCCUACUCGGUUCCCCCUGCGUCGCGCGCCUGGCUUGCUCCCUGCUAGGCGUUCUCCUCCCCUGCUUCUAUAGCGGCUGAGCUCCCUCUGCUUGCGCGUCCCUUGCUCCUCCCAGCCGGCCGAGCUCCUGCUUCCCCUCCGUGGAGCACCCCCUGCUCCUGCUCCCCGAGCUCGCCCCUGCGCUCGGAUUUUCUCCCUCGGCCAUGGUAGCCGCGCGCCAUUCCUGCUCGCCCUUCGCUCGGCCGCCUCUCCUUGGUCUCCCAUGGCGCCCUGGCUGCGACCUCGCCUUGGUUAUCACAUCUUCUCGUGUUGUUGUGCGUUUGUUGAUGUUUUAGUCAUCGCAUAGCUCGCUGAUGGCCGGGCAUUUCACCUUCGAUUAGCUCACCAUGACGCCGACGUCUAGCCCUGACUCCAGUCUCCUCGCCACGAAAGCACAACCGCUACUCAGUGUGUUGAUGUCAUAUGCGUGGCACCGUCGUGGGUUGUCGUCGUUCGUCGUCGCGUCAUGUGUGCAACAACGUCGCUGAUUCCUCCAUGGUGCUUGUCGAUGAACUUCGCUUCAUAGGUUCCCCGCCUUCGGUUCGGCUCACGUAUGCACACCGAACGCAUUCACCGCUUGACCCUGUGUCGCUGUGUCGCUAGAGCUCGUGACCUCGCCGUCGUCGGAGUCCUCACUGGAUUCGUGUCCUCGUAAGAGCUCGCGCUAACCUGCUCGACCACACCUCACCAGCUCGCUGCAGACUCGAUCUCGUCGUCAUUCCGUGCGUCAUCAAGAAAACCCAAGAGUCGGGUGAAGACGAAGCUAGCAGCGUGAUGUUCACCAAGUACUCGACGCAAGGGCUGAACCAGAAUCCUUGCCGUAUUCGCAGAUAGCUUGUCAGAUUUAGUAUGGUAAGCCGAUUCAUAUUUCUGUUAGCUUAAUUAUUGGUUUGAUGAAUAGAUUGUGUACAUAAGCAUGAAGUGGUUGUGUCACGCGAAACUCAAUUUUAAAAUGAUUAUUGUGUGAGGAGUGGUUAAGUGAAUAAUAAGUCUAGUGUCUCGCUCAUAUAGCUGAUAAAUACGGUCGUGGUUAUAUUAAAUGGUUGUUAAAAUGUAUCAUAGGUAGUAUGUGGUGAUGCUCAUAAAUGUAGAGUUGACACAUCGUCUUUGUAUGAUGAAGCAUAGGUUUGGGGUGUUAAUUAUGUUGAAGAUAUUGAUAGACAUAUAUGCCAUAUUUUGGCUAGUUCAUAACAUGUAAAAUAGGUUUGGGAUUUUAAUCAGCCAGCCAAUAGUUUCUACUUGAAUAGUAGUGGUGAAGUAGUGAUUUGCUUUAAUAGUGUCGUAUUAUGUUGUUAAUCGGCUAGGUUUCAUAGAUGAAUGUUGAUCACUUAAGUCGACAUUUAGGGAUAAAUGUGGGUC
Molecule: long non-coding RNA, 1534 nt
Filed under: Zea mays
Lineage: Eukaryota; Viridiplantae; Streptophyta; Magnoliopsida; Poales; Poaceae
Description: drought responsive lncRNA
Source: RNAcentral